CGCGGCCUAUCAGCUUGUUGGUGGGGUAACGGCCUACCAAGGCGACGACGGGUAGCCGGCCUGAGAGGGCGACCGGCCACACUGGGACUGAGACACGGCCCAGACUCCUACGGGAGGCAGCAGUGGGGAAUAUUGCGCAAUGGGCGAAAGCCUGACGCAGCGACGCCGCGUGGGGGAUGAAGGCCUUCGGGUUGUAAACCCCUUUCAGCAGGGACGAAGCGAAAGUGACGGUACCUGCAGAAGAAGCGCCGGCUAACUACGUGCCAGCAGCCGCGGUAACACGUAGGGCGCAAGCGUUGUCCGGAAUUAUUGGGCGUAAAGAGCUCGUAGGCGGUCUGUUGCGUCCGCUGUGAAAACUCGGGGCUUAACCCCGGGUCUGCAUUCGAUACGGGCAGACUAGAGUGUGGUAGGGGAGAUCGGAAUUCCUGGUGUAGCGGUGAAAUGCGCAGAUAUCAGGAGGAACACCGGUGGCGAAGGCGGAUCUCUGGGCCAUUACUGACGCUGAGGAGCGAAAGCGUGGGGAGCGAACAGGAUUAGAUACCCUGGUAGUCCACGCCGUAAACGGUGGGAACUAGGUGUUGGCGACAUUCCACGUCGUCGGUGCCGCAGCUAACGCAUUAAGUUCCCCGCC
This 631-nucleotide ribosomal RNA is filed under the name uncultured bacterium. RNAcentral describes it as "bacterial SSU rRNA". It matches the Rfam family "Bacterial small subunit ribosomal RNA", at positions 232 to 873 of the family's 1533-position model. The record is from RNAcentral.